GAUGAACGCUGGCGGCGUGCCUAAUACAUGCAAGUCGAGCGGAUGAAAGAGGAGCUUGCUCCUCUAGAUUCAGCGGCGGACGGGUGAGUAACACGUGGGCAACCUGCCCUGUAGAUUGGGAUAACUCCGGGAAACCGGGGCUAAUACCGAAUAAUCCUUCGGACCUCAUGGUCCGAUGUUGAAAGACGGUUUCGGCUGUCACUACAGGAUGGGCCCGCGGCGCAUUAGCUAGUUGGUGAGGUGACGGCUCACCAAGGCCACGAUGCGUAGCCGACCUGGGAGGGUGAUCGGCCACACUGGGACUGAGACACGGCCCAGACUCCUACGGGAGGCAGCAGUAGGGAAUCUUCCACAAUGGACGAAAGUCUGAUGGAGCAACGCCGCGUGAGUGAAGAAGGUUCUCGGAUCGUAAAACUCUGUUGUGAGGGAAGAACAAGUACCGGAGUAACUGCCGGUGCCUUGACGGUACCUCAUUAGAAAGCCACGGCUAACUACGUGCCAGCAGCCGCAGUAA
RNAcentral lists this ribosomal RNA (514 nucleotides) under uncultured bacterium. RNAcentral's name for it is "partial 16S ribosomal RNA". It matches the Rfam family "Bacterial small subunit ribosomal RNA", at positions 28 to 523 of the family's 1533-position model. The record is from RNAcentral.